ACGGAGGGAGCUAGCGUUGUUCGGAAUUACUGGGCGUAAAGCGCGCGUAGGCGGUUUUCCAAGUCAGGGGUGAAAGCCCGGGGCUCAACCCCGGAAUAGCCCUUGAAACUGGAAGACUAGAAUCUUGGAGAGGUCAGUGGAAUUCCGAGUGUAGAGGUGAAAUUCGUAGAUAUUCGGAAGAACACCAGUGGCGAAGGCGACUGACUGGACAAGUAUUGACGCUGAGGUGCGAAAGCGUGGGGAGCAAACAG
This 251-nucleotide ribosomal RNA is filed under the name uncultured prokaryote. Its description in RNAcentral is "partial 16S ribosomal RNA". It matches the Rfam family "Bacterial small subunit ribosomal RNA", at positions 525 to 775 of the family's 1533-position model. The record is from RNAcentral.